RNAcentral lists this ribosomal RNA (265 nucleotides) under uncultured prokaryote. RNAcentral describes it as "partial 16S ribosomal RNA". It matches the Rfam family "Bacterial small subunit ribosomal RNA", at positions 524 to 776 of the family's 1533-position model. The record is from RNAcentral.
UACGUAGGGGGCGAGCGUUGUCCGAAGUUACUGGGCGUAAAGCGCACGUAGGCGGCACUUCAAGUUGCAUCUAAAAGGCGGCAGCUCAACUGCCGAGUGAGGUGCAAGACUGGAGAGCUUGAGGCAAGCAGAAGAGUGUGGAACUCCGAGUGUAGCGGUGGAAUGCGUAGAGAUUCGGAAGAACACCCAAGGCGAAGGCAGCACUCUGGGCUUGAGAGGAAACUCGACCUGACGCUGAGGAGCGAAAGCCAGGGGAGCGAACGGG